GAUGAACGCUGGCGGCGUGCCUAAUACAUGCAAGUCGAGCGAACAGAUGAGGAGCUUGCUCCUCUGACGUUAGCGGCAGACGGGUGUGUAACACGUGGAUCACCUCCCUAUAAGACUGGGAUCACUUCGGGACACCGGCGCUAAUCCCGGAUAAUAUAUUGAACCGCAUGGUUCAAUAGUAAAAGACGGUUUUGCUGUCACUUAUAGAUGGAUCCGCGCCGCAUUAUCUAGUUGGGAAGGUAACGGCUUACCAAGGCGACGAUGCGUAGCCGACCUGAGAGGGUGAUCGGCCACACUGGAACUGAGACACGGUCCAGACUCCUACGGGAGGCAGCAGUAGGGAAUCUUCCGCAAUGGGCGAAAGCCUGACGGAGCAACGCCGCGUGAGUGAUGAUGGUCUUCGGAUCGGAAAACUCUGUUAUUAGGGAAGAACAAAUGUGUAAGUAACGAUGCACGUCUUGACGGUACCUAAUCAGAAAGCCACGGCUAACUACGUG
RNAcentral lists this ribosomal RNA (497 nucleotides) under uncultured bacterium. RNAcentral's name for it is "partial 16S ribosomal RNA". It matches the Rfam family "Bacterial small subunit ribosomal RNA", at positions 28 to 507 of the family's 1533-position model. The record is from RNAcentral.